CAGUGGGGAAUCUUGCACAAUGGGGGAAACCCUGAUGCAGCGACGCCGCGUGAGCGAUGAAGCCCUUCGGGGUGUAAAGCUCUUUCGGCAGGGAAGAUAAUGACGGUACCUGCAGAAGCAGCUGCGGCUAACUACGUGCCAGCAGCCGCGGUAAUACGUAGGCAGCAAGCGUUGUUCGGAGUUACUGGGCGUAAAGGGUGYGUAGGCGGUUCUUUAAGUUUGGUGUGAAAUCUCCCGGCUUAACUGGGAGGGUGCGCURWAKACUGAGGGRCUAGAGUGYGGGAGAGGAAAGUGGAAUUCCUGGUGUAGCGGUGAAAUGCGUAGAUAUCAGGAGGAACACCGGUGGUGUARACGGCUUUCUGGACCAUAACUGACGCUGAGGCACGAAAGCGUGGGUAGCAAACAGGAUUAGAUACCCUGGUAGUCCACGCCCUAAACGAUGCAUAUUUGGUGUGGGCCAUUCAUUYKAUCCGUGCCGGAGCUAACGCGUUAAAUAUGCCGCCUGGGGAGUACAGUCGCAAGGCUGAAACUCAAAG
Molecule: ribosomal RNA, 536 nt
Filed under: uncultured bacterium
Lineage: Bacteria
Description: bacterial SSU rRNA
Rfam family: Bacterial small subunit ribosomal RNA
Source: RNAcentral